AAACCGGGGCUAAUACCGGAUGAAGUCGUCGGGGGCAUCCCUUGGCGAGCAAAGGCGCCGUAAGGCGUCGCCCUUGGAGGGGCCCGCGGGCCAUUAGCUAGUUGGUGGGGUAAAGGCCUACCAAGGCGACGAUGGCUAGCCGGCCUAAGAGGGUGGUCGGCCACACUGGGACUGAGACACGGCCCAGACUCCUACGGGAGGCAGCAGUAGGGAAUUUUGGUCAAUGGGGGAAACCCUGAACCAGCGACGCCGCGUGUGCGACGAAGGCCUUCGGGUUGUAAAGCACUGUCGGUGGGGAAGAAGUCCCUGGCGCGAGCUAGGGGUGACGGUACCCGCAGAGGAAGCCCCGGCUAACUACGUGCCAGCAGCCGCGGUAAUACGUAGGGGGCGAGCGUUGUCCGGAUUUACUGGGCGUAAAGGGCGUCUAGGUGGCACGAUACGUCGGGAGUGAAAGACGUGGGCUCAACCCGCGGUACGCUUUCGAAACGGUCGAGCUGGAGGGCCGGAGAGGGAAGCGGAAUUGCCGGUGUAGCGGUGAAAUGCGUAGAGAUCGGCAGGAACACCAGUGGCGAAGGCGGCUUCCUGGACGGUACCUGACACUGAAGCGCGAAAGCGUGGGGAGCAAACGGGAUUAGAUACCCCGGUAGUCCACGCCGUAAACGAUGGGUGCUAGGUGUGGCGGGUAUCGACCCCCGCCGUGCCGGAGUUCACGCAAUAACACCCCGCCUGGGGAGUACGGCCGCAAGGCUGAAACUCAAAGGAAUUGACGG
RNAcentral lists this ribosomal RNA (770 nucleotides) under uncultured bacterium. Its description in RNAcentral is "bacterial SSU rRNA". It matches the Rfam family "Bacterial small subunit ribosomal RNA", at positions 154 to 916 of the family's 1533-position model. The record is from RNAcentral.